UUAAGCGACUAAGCGUACACGGUGGAUGCCCUGGCAGUCAGAGGCGAUGAAGGACGUGCUAAUCUGCGAAAAGCGUCGGUAAGGUGAUAUGAACCGUUACAGCCGGCGAUGUCCGAAUGGGGAAACCCAGUGCAAUUCGUUGCACUAUCGUUUGAUGAAUACAUAGUCAAACGAGGCGAACCGGGGGAACUGAAACAUCUAAGUACCCCGAGGAAAAGAAAUCAACCGAGAUUCCCCCAGUAGCGGCGAGCGAACGGGGAGCAGCCCGGAGUCUGAAUCAGCUUGUGUGUUAGUGGAAGCGUCUGGAAAGUCGCAGGGUACAGGGUGAUACUCCCGUACACUAAAACACACAGGUUGUGAACUCGAAGAGUAGGGCGGGACACGUGGUAUCCUGUCUGAAUAUGGGGGGACCAUCCUCCAAGGCUAAAUACUCCUGACUGACCGAUAGUGAACCAGUACCGUGAGGGAAAGGCGAAAAGAACCCCGGCGAGGGGAGUGAAAAAGAACCUGAAACCGUGUACGUACAAGCAGUAGGAGCCCACUUGUUGGGUGACUGCGUACCUUUUGUAUAAUGGGUCAGCGACUUAUAUUCUGUAGCAAGGUUAACCGUAUAGGGGAGCCGCAGGGAAACCGAGUCUUAACUGGGCGUUAAGUUGCAGGGUAUAGACCCGAAACCCGGUGAUCUAGCCAUGGGCAGGUUGAAGGUUGGGUAACACUAACUGGAGGACCGAACCGACUAAUGUUGAAAAAUUAGCGGAUGACUUGUGGCUGGGGGUGAAAGGCCAAUCAAACCGGGAGAUAGCUGGUUCUCCCCGAAAGCUAUUUAGGUAGCGCCUCGUGAAUUCAUCUUCGGGGGUAGAGCACUGUUUCGGCUAGGGGGUCAUCCCGACUUACCAACCCGAUGCAAACUACGAAUACCGAAGAAUGUUAUCACGGGAGACACACGGCGGGUGCUAACGUCCGUCGUGAAGAGGGAAACAACCCAGACCGCCAGCUAAGGUCCCAAAGUCAUGGUUAAGUGGGAAACGAUGUGGGAAGGCCCAGACAGCCAGGAUGUUGGCUUAGAAGCAGCCAUCAUUUAAAGAAAGCGUAAUAGCUCACUGGUCGAGUCGGCCUGCGCGGAAGAUGUAACGGGGCUAAACCAUGCACCGAAGCUGCGGCAGCGACACUAUGUGUUGUUGGGUAGGGGAGCGUUCUGUAAGCCGUUGAAGGUGGCCUGUGAGGGUUGCUGGAGGUAUCAGAAGUGCGAAUGCUGACAUAAGUAACGAUAAUGCGGGUGAAAAACCCGCACGCCGGAAGACCAAGGGUUCCUGUCCAACGUUAAUCGGGGCAGGGUGAGUCGACCCCUAAGGCGAGGCCGAAAGGCGUAGUCGAUGGGAAACAGGUUAAUAUUCCUGUACUUGGUGUUACUGCGAAGGGGGGACGGAGAAGGCUAUGUUGGCCGGGCGACGGUUGUCCCGGUUUAAGCGUGUAGGUGUGUGUUCCAGGUAAAUCCGGUUCACUUUAACACUGAGGCGUGAUGACGAGGCACUACGGUGCUGAAGUGACAAAUGCCCUGCUUCCAGGAAAAGCCUCUAAGCAUCAGGUAACAUCAAAUCGUACCCCAAACCGACACAGGUGGUCAGGUAGAGAAUACCAAGGCGCUUGAGAGAACUCGGGUGAAGGAACUAGGCAAAAUGGUGCCGUAACUUCGGGAGAAGGCACGCUGAUAUGUAGGUGAAGUGGUUUACCCAUGGAGCUGAAAUCAGUCGAAGAUACCAGCUGGCUGCAACUGUUUAUUAAAAACACAGCACUGUGCAAACACGAAAGUGGACGUAUACGGUGUGACGCCUGCCCGGUGCCGGAAGGUUAAUUGAUGGGGUUAUCCGUAAGGAGAAGCUCUUGAUCGAAGCCCCGGUAAACGGCGGCCGUAACUAUAACGGUCCUAAGGUAGCGAAAUUCCUUGUCGGGUAAGUUCCGACCUGCACGAAUGGCGUAAUGAUGGCCAGGCUGUCUCCACCCGAGACUCAGUGAAAUUGAACUCGCUGUGAAGAUGCAGUGUACCCGCGGCAAGACGGAAAGACCCCGUGAACCUUUACUAUAGCUUGACACUGAACACUGGUCCUUGAUGUGUAGGAUAGGUGGGAGGCUUUGAAGNG
RNAcentral lists this ribosomal RNA (2138 nucleotides) under Klebsiella pasteurii. RNAcentral's name for it is "23S ribosomal RNA (partial)". It matches the Rfam family "Bacterial large subunit ribosomal RNA", at positions 1 to 2164 of the family's 2925-position model. The record is from RNAcentral. Lineage: Bacteria; Pseudomonadati; Pseudomonadota; Gammaproteobacteria; Enterobacterales; Enterobacteriaceae.